RNAcentral lists this ribosomal RNA (509 nucleotides) under uncultured bacterium. RNAcentral describes it as "bacterial SSU rRNA". It matches the Rfam family "Bacterial small subunit ribosomal RNA", at positions 773 to 1276 of the family's 1533-position model. The record is from RNAcentral.
AGGGAAUAGAUACCCGGGUAGUCCUGGCAGUAAACGGUGCACGUUUGGUGUGGGCGCAAUCGACCGCGUCCGCGCCGUAGCUAAACGCGUUAAGCGUGCCGCCUGGGAAGUACGGUCGCAAGAUUAAAACUCAAAGAAAUUGACGGGGACCCGCACAAGCGGUGGAGUAUGUGGCUUAAUUCGAUGCAACGCGAAGAACCUUACCUGGUCUUGACAUGCAUUGUGUCUCCGCUGAAAGGCGGAUAGGGUAGCAAUACCCGCUUUGCACAGAUGCUGCAUGGCUGUCGUCAGCUCGUGUCGUGAGAUGUUGGGUUUAAGUCCCGCAACGAGCGCAACCCCUGUGGUUUGUUGCCACCCGGUUUACCGGAGCACUCGAACCAGACUGCCUCGAUCAACGAGGAGGAAGGUGGGGAUGACGUCAAGUCCGUAUGGCCUUACGACCAGGGCUGCACACGUACUACAAUGCUCAGCACAAUGUGAACCGAUGCCGCGAGGUGGAGGAAAUCAAC